GCUGUGUUUGGUUUCCUCCAAAUGUGAUGCUGUGCAUUAUAGCGAAACAUCCUCACUAGAGAGAAGAUGUUUUCUCCUGGCAACCCAGGCCAGGCUUGUCCAGUCUUUAUCUAACUGUGCUGUCAUGAAAAAUUGAACAUGCUAACUGAGGCCUGUAGUGUCUGAGAUGUAGCCUUUAUGUUUUUUGCAGUUUCUCUGACAUGUCCACUCCCGGGAAGAUUGGCAAAUGCCUGAAGGAUUUCUUUUUUCUUUUUUCUUUUUUUAUUGAUAAAUUAUCAUUUUUAAAAAGCCAACUUUACCUUCUAGCUCACGCUACGUACAUACUCACUUACCCAAGUACUGAAUUUGAACUAUGUACAAAGUAUUUCUUAGUAUUUUCUGCUUCAUUGUCAUAAUCACAUUCAAAACAAGGUUAGGAGUUUGAACUGUGCACACCGGUCAAGGUCAAGAGAUAAGAUGCUGAGUUAGCGUAUAGCAAUGCUAGCUAGACAGAGUUCACUGGAGGUCAAAGAGCAGCGAUAUAAGCAAAGGGAGGAGGGUUUACAUUCUAACUCACAGGCAGAAGGAGCAAAGACAGGAACAUCAUAGGCUUCAACUACCUCUAAAACUGGAAAAGAAAAAAAAGUUGGCAUGCAAACGUGAGUCACCAUGUUUUGUUUUGUUUUUGUGGAUAAUUUUGAGAAGGUAACGGUGAAAAGCUUGGGGACAGAGGACCAGGAAGCUUCAUAACAACUCAAACUGGUUAUUGCUGUAGUGAGUUAAAAGCUGCAUGGCACAAAGAAAUGAUUUAAAAAAAAAAACACAAGCUCCUCUUGAUCUGACACUCUUCCUGACUAAACACUUGGAAGCAAAGUUGGCACACAUGGGUAUUUAAGGAUAAUUUCUCCUCAAAAAUCAACAUUUUCAGGAGUUAAAAUCAUAUAGCAAUACUAUGUCAGUGCACACAGGCAUGAGAAAUGGUUACAAUGCAGUAUGAAUAUGCAGCUUUCUGCAGCUGGACAUUAACUAGCAGCAAAACAACACAAUUGCAUAUAAUUGUAGUGCAAUGGGAAAACUGUUCUUAGGUUGUUUCAAUUUGGUCUGGUCGGUAACGAGAAAAAUCAAGUGGGUGCAGUCACGUCAUUCAGGCUGCUGAAGGAAAGAAAACUGAUAAAAAAAAAAAAAAAUCCUAAACCCAGCCAGUCUCUUGCACUAUCAUUUCUAACAUCAGCCUGAAGGAUUUCUACCUAUGAAUAAUUUUUUUGACUGUAGAACUUCAAAGUGUUUGGACAUGACCUUAUAACCCUUCCUAAAUUGGCAGACAGCAAUAACGAUCCUUGCUGAUGUCUUUCCUAUUUGGUAAUUGUAUACACUGACACCUUACUGCGCCAGACCAGCAACCUGCCCAAACCUCUGCUUUUAGAGAGGUGAAACUUUGUCUACCUGCUGCAUAGUUUUUCAAGUUAUUUUGUUUUAUCUGCUCUUUAAACCGAGUGCCAUCCAAUUCUGUGUUAUUCUGCUAAACCUGGCCAACACACACACACACACACACACACACACACACACACACACACACACACACACACACACACACACACACACGCACGCACGCACGCACGCACACACAUACACACACACAAACAAUCUAGUGAAUAAGUAUCACUGCAGGCUGGGGGAAACAUUGAUUUUUAGGUCGAAUUAACCCUUCAAGUUGAAAAAUGACACCUCGAUGUGAAAGAUGAUAAUAGCACGAGCUAUAAUGUUGUCACACAAGCACUCCAACACUAUUAAUG
Astatotilapia calliptera (eastern happy) is the source of this 1772-nucleotide long non-coding RNA. The record is from Ensembl. Lineage: Eukaryota; Metazoa; Chordata; Actinopteri; Cichliformes; Cichlidae.